Molecule: transfer RNA, 66 nt
Filed under: Entiminae sp. ACP-2013
Lineage: Eukaryota; Metazoa; Arthropoda; Insecta; Coleoptera; Curculionidae
Description: tRNA-Asp
Source: RNAcentral
GAAAAAUUUAGUUAAAUUUAUAACAUUAGUUUGUCAAACUAAAAUUAUUAAAAAUUAAUAAUUUUU